CUCUCCAUGAUAAUCUUUAGUUAUUUUGUAUAACGCAACAACAUAAAAAACAUGAGCUUAUAUGAAUAAAUAAUAUUGGGGACAAUUAAUAUUAGUAGCCGUUUAAAUUGUUAUUAAUCCAUAAAAUAAGUGGUCAAAGUAUCGAUAGCUUCUGAAUAAAUUGUAGCAAAGGCUUUACUCAACUACUAUACGAGAUGUUUAACAUGAAGAUAUUUUUGUUGGUAGUUUUGGUAGUGGCUUCGUUUGCUGCCGUAACCUAUGCAUGCAUAGAGCCCGGCCAAUUUUGCGCAGUUGAUUCGUCUUGUUGCAGCCAUAAAUGUCACAAAAAGACGAGCAGAUGUAAACAGAUGAACUAUUUUCUAUAAACGAAUUAGUAAAAUCACUAUUUGGCAGUGAAUAGUCACUAUUUUCACUAUUUCCAAUCUAAGAGAGUACCUAAGAUAACUUUGAAUUCACUUUCAACUCAGUUUAUAUUUAUAUAUAGUUUUUCCAAAUU
Molecule: long non-coding RNA, 496 nt
Organism: Microplitis mediator
Lineage: Eukaryota; Metazoa; Arthropoda; Insecta; Hymenoptera; Braconidae
Exons: 3
Source: RefSeq, a predicted model, not a curated record